GCCUGUGGGAUGUCUCACUUUAGAACAUUCGUGAUGAUGAAAAUCUCCAUUCUGCAAGGGCUGUGUCUAUCACAAAAAUCGUCUUCAAAGUGUCUUCUGUAAAGACUUCUUCAGACUGUCAAUAGGAAGACUGAUAAACUCAGUUCAGAUGCGAGAGGAAAUCGAGUCAUCAUCAAUGGCACCUCAUGUUAGCCUGCCAUGGCAACAAGCUCAUUGAUUGAGUAAAAGAACUUUCAGAUGCACUAGCUGGUCUUUAACGGGUUGCUGAAAGCACAGAUAAGACGACUGAGGGAGCCGACUGAAUUUCCAUGGAUAUAUACAAAGGGAAUGGAAAAUCACAGUACGAUUUUUCAUUGGCUCCUGAUAGAGCUAGGUCCUUGUAUAAUUCUAAAACUGGUGUAUAAAACAAUGUCCACGCCAUUCAUUUUGGUUAUAACUAUUAAGGGGAAGGGAGAUGAUGUCUGUGGAAUUGCAAAGUAGUUUGCACUAGAAUUUUCUAUUACAUAUGCUCUAAUAGGAGUAUUUUCCUCUGUUACAUUAUGACUUAUGUAAUAAUAAUAGCUAAGGAUUACUGAGGGUUUUUAUUUUCUUUUCUGCAUGAUCUUGACCGUUUUUCGAAACAGUCCUUGUUGCUGGAUACUAUUUAUGUCACCAUUUUACAAAUGAGAAUGCCAAAGUUCAGAGUGACAUCCAUCUAAAAGAGGCCAGUUUCAGCCUUGAACCCAUUAUACUCUAAUCCCAUUUUCAAAGUAACUCUUGGUUUUCUCAAAAGGCCUUUAAAUGUAUGGAUAAGCCAAUAUGAGGGCAGCAAUGUUGUGGUUAAGUGUGUGCACUUUGGUUGGACUCUGCCGAAGGCCAGCACCACCAUUUAGUAGCUAUGUGAACCAGUGAGUUACUUAAAACCUAUACCUCCACUUCCUCAUCUGCAAAAUGGGGUUGUGGUAAGGCUGGAAUAAGUUAAUGCAUGUAGCAUGUUGAGAAGGCACUGUCUAAGCGCAUGGCACAUGGUAAGCAUGUAGGAAACAGCAACACAUGCCUGGGUCUGAGUUCUGCUCUGUCAUGAUGAUUGGUGCCCAACGGGAAAAGCUCUUCCGCACCAGCGUUUUACAAGCCUAGCUCCUCCUUUUCCAAAACAAGUUCCCAGGCCAUGGUCAAUAUCAACAUUCAGGGGAAAUACAUUCUGUUCAUUGUAGAUAUGACAGUGAGAAUAUUUGCUGAAUAACAAUUAAGCUAUCUGAUUGCGUAAUAGUUAAAAGGUUUGUUUUUACCAUCUGUGAAUUAAAGCCAAAAAUAACAACCAAUUCAUAGAAUAUUGUGACGGUUAUAGGAGAUGCAGCUUGUCAGCUGCUCAGCUCAGCGGCCUGGGCAUGAUUAGAAUUCCACACAUAAUAGUGAUUACCAUCAGUAUUAUUAUUAUUAAGGCAACACAGUGAUCGUAGUAAUGGUAAAACAGAGAGAUCUACCUAAUCCAAAAUUCUAUUCAACAAGGGAGUUUCUACAUAUAGCCACUAUGGUUUCUAAUUUUCAAAGAAUCAGCAUAUAAUAAAAUGCUCUCAAUAAUAAAGCUGAACUGAAUAUAUUAUAAUAACUUAAUGAGGCAGAAGACAUUUGAGAUGCCUCAAUUAUCAAUGUGUUUCACAGAUUCAAAAGUGUAACUUUAUACAUUUAUUCAAUAGAUAAAACACUGACUAGGUCCGCUUAAAGUUGAAAUAGAUUUUUGGAUUCUCUCAAAGUAUAGGGCAAUAACAAAUAUAGAAGUUUUCUGAAAAAAAAUAAGCAAAAUAGAAAUAGUACUAUUAUUAGUUUUAAAAUAUUAUAAAAGAAUUUUAAAUGAGACAAAAAUAAUAUGAUGGCAAUAUAUGGCCUUUUACAAAGAGAGGAACUGAGGCAGGGAGGAGAAAUAAUUCUAGAAUGACAUGCUGGUUAGAGGUAUGAUGUGUCGGACCACAAGAAUGAUGUGAUUCUGACUUUUCCUUUAUUUACAAAUCACUUUGGAUAAACCGAUGGCUCUUGCUGAGCCCCUGGGUUGGUGGAGGAGUAACAUGCCUGGGAGUCGAGCAUCCUAAGACGUGCACCCUGAGGACUGCAGGAAAAGUGCAGAAAUUAGGUAGAAAUAGGGCUUGUUUAGCAUUCAUGAUGGCUAGGUGUCUUACUGCAGGUGUCUUAAGAAACUACCCAGUAACUCACUGAACCAGCAACUCUGUGCAUGGCCUCCUGAGAGGUGAGGGACACAAAGAUUUUAUCAAGAGUGAAGCAUGUGUCUGUGUUCAAGUAUCUUGCAAAAUGAAGACAAAAGAAGUAGUUUGCAAUUAGCUCUUAGUUCCUACCUUUCAAAGAAGCAUCCGCCAGUCAGGUGAGAUGAAACUGACCAUGAAGAGAAGCUUGUAUCUGUAUAAAAUGCAAACCUGUUUGGACAGCGGAAUGGGGUUUGCUUCAAACUUCAGGGUGCAUUUAUAUAAAGCAACAGAGAGUGCACUUUCUAAUAAAAAUAAAAUGAAGCUCAAAUGGCACAAGAGUCUCCUUAUAUUUAAAAUGGUUCUCGUAAAGUAACAUUUUGAUGAUU
Homo sapiens (human) is the source of this 2563-nucleotide long non-coding RNA. Ensembl annotates it as hepatocellular carcinoma up-regulated long non-coding RNA. Its record names the gene HULC. The record is from Ensembl. Lineage: Eukaryota; Metazoa; Chordata; Mammalia; Primates; Hominidae.